This 1554-nucleotide ribosomal RNA is filed under the name Escherichia coli. RNAcentral describes it as "bacterial SSU rRNA". It matches the Rfam family "Bacterial small subunit ribosomal RNA". Lineage: Bacteria; Pseudomonadati; Pseudomonadota; Gammaproteobacteria; Enterobacterales; Enterobacteriaceae. The record is from RNAcentral. RNAcentral also lists the same sequence under 2 other names.
AAAUUGAAGAGUUUGAUCAUGGCUCAGAUUGAACGCUGGCGGCAGGCCUAACACAUGCAAGUCGAACGGUAACAGGAAACAGCUUGCUGUUUCGCUGACGAGUGGCGGACGGGUGAGUAAUGUCUGGGAAACUGCCCGAUGGAGGGGGAUAACUACUGGAAACGGUAGCUAAUACCGCAUAACGUCGCAAGACCAAAGAGGGGGACCUUCGGGCCUCUUGCCAUCGGAUGUGCCCAGAUGGGAUUAGCUAGUAGGUGGGGUAACGGCUCACCUAGGCGACGAUCCCUAGCUGGUCUGAGAGGAUGACCAGCCACACUGGAACUGAGACACGGUCCAGACUCCUACGGGAGGCAGCAGUGGGGAAUAUUGCACAAUGGGCGCAAGCCUGAUGCAGCCAUGCCGCGUGUAUGAAGAAGGCCUUCGGGUUGUAAAGUACUUUCAGCGGGGAGGAAGGGAGUAAAGUUAAUACCUUUGCUCAUUGACGUUACCCGCAGAAGAAGCACCGGCUAACUCCGUGCCAGCAGCCGCGGUAAUACGGAGGGUGCAAGCGUUAAUCGGAAUUACUGGGCGUAAAGCGCACGCAGGCGGUUUGUUAAGUCAGAUGUGAAAUCCCCGGGCUCAACCUGGGAACUGCAUCUGAUACUGGCAAGCUUGAGUCUCGUAGAGGGGGGUAGAAUUCCAGGUGUAGCGGUGAAAUGCGUAGAGAUCUGGAGGAAUACCGGUGGCGAAGGCGGCCCCCUGGACGAAGACUGACGCUCAGGUGCGAAAGCGUGGGGAGCAAACAGGAUUAGAUACCCUGGUAGUCCACGCCGUAAACGAUGUCGACUUGGAGGUUGUGCCCUUGAGGCGUGGCUUCCGGAGCUAACGCGUUAAGUCGACCGCCUGGGGAGUACGGCCGCAAGGUUAAAACUCAAAUGAAUUGACGGGGGCCCGCACAAGCGGUGGAGCAUGUGGUUUAAUUCGAUGCAACGCGAAGAACCUUACCUGGUCUUGACAUCCACGGAAGUUUUCAGAGAUGAGAAUGUGCCUUCGGGAACCGUGAGACAGGUGCUGCAUGGCUGUCGUCAGCUCGUGUUGUGAAAUGUUGGGUUAAGUCCCGCAACGAGCGCAACCCUUAUCCUUUGUUGCCAGCGGUCCGGCCGGGAACUCAAAGGAGACUGCCAGUGAUAAACUGGAGGAAGGUGGGGAUGACGUCAAGUCAUCAUGGCCCUUACGACCAGGGCUACACACGUGCUACAAUGGCGCAUACAAAGAGAAGCGACCUCGCGAGAGCAAGCGGACCUCAUAAAGUGCGUCGUAGUCCGGAUUGGAGUCUGCAACUCGACUCCAUGAAGUCGGAAUCGCUAGUAAUCGUGGAUCAGAAUGCCACGGUGAAUACGUUCCCGGGCCUUGUACACACCGCCCGUCACACCAUGGGAGUGGGUUGCAAAAGAAGUAGGUAGCUUAACCUUCGGGAGGGCGCUUACCACUUUGUGAUUCAUGACUGGGGUGAAGUCGUAACAAGGUAACCGUAGGGGAACCUGCGGUUGGAUCACCUCCUUACCUUAAAGAAGC